RNAcentral lists this transfer RNA (70 nucleotides) under Branchiostegus argentatus (silver horsehead). Its description in RNAcentral is "tRNA-Ile". Lineage: Eukaryota; Metazoa; Chordata; Actinopteri; Malacanthidae. The record is from RNAcentral.
GGACCUGUGCCUGAACAAAAGGGCCACUUUGAUAGAGUGUACCAUGAGGGUUAAAGCCCCUCCAGCUCCU